RNAcentral lists this ribosomal RNA (253 nucleotides) under uncultured bacterium. RNAcentral's name for it is "partial 16S ribosomal RNA". It matches the Rfam family "Bacterial small subunit ribosomal RNA", at positions 524 to 776 of the family's 1533-position model. The record is from RNAcentral.
UACGUAGGGGGCGAGCGUUGUCCGGAAUUAUUGGGCGUAAAGAGCGUGUAGGCGGUUCGGUAAGUCUGCUGUGAAAUCCUGCGGCUCAACCCUGGGCGUGCAGUGGAUACUGCCGGGCUAGAGGGUGGUAGAGGCGGGUGGAAUUCCGAGUGUAGCGGUGAAAUGCGCAGAUAUUCGGAGGAACACCAGUAGCGAAGGCGGCUGACUGGGCCACACCUGACGCUGAGGCGCGAAAGCGUGGGGAGCGAACAGG